GCCGUAUUCCCAUAAUGGUAUUGGAAAUGCUUGCUAAGCAUUCAGUCGGAAACGACUUGGAGGUUCGACUCCUCCAUACGGCG
Molecule: transfer RNA, 83 nt
Filed under: Caudoviricetes sp.
Lineage: Duplodnaviria; Heunggongvirae; Uroviricota; Caudoviricetes
Description: tRNA-Ser
Rfam family: tRNA
About the family: Transfer RNA (tRNA) molecules are approximately 80 nucleotides in length. Their secondary structure includes four short double-helical elements and three loops (D, anti-codon, and T loops).
Source: RNAcentral